This 253-nucleotide ribosomal RNA is filed under the name uncultured bacterium. Its description in RNAcentral is "partial 16S ribosomal RNA". It matches the Rfam family "Bacterial small subunit ribosomal RNA", at positions 524 to 776 of the family's 1533-position model. The record is from RNAcentral.
UACGUAGGGGGCGAGCGUUGUCCGGAUUUACUGGGUGUAAAGGGUGCUCAGGCGGGUCUGUAAGUCAGGGGUGAAAUCCCAGAGCUUAACUCUGGAACUGCCUUUGAUCCUGCAGAUCUCGAGUUUGGGAGAGGCGAGUGGAAUAUCUGGUGUAGCAGUGAAAUGCGUAGAUAUCAGAUAGAACACCAAUGGCGAAGACAGCUCGCUGGCCCAAUACUGACGCUAAAGCACGAAAGCGUGGGGAGCAAACAGG